Molecule: ribosomal RNA, 506 nt
Filed under: uncultured bacterium
Lineage: Bacteria
Description: partial 16S ribosomal RNA
Rfam family: Bacterial small subunit ribosomal RNA
Source: RNAcentral
AGUGAACGCUGGCGGCAGGCCUAACACAUGCAAGUCGAACGGCAGCACAGGAGAGCUUGCUCUCUGGGUGGCGAGUGGCGGACGGGUGAGGAAUAUAUCGGAAUCUACCCUUUCGUGGGGGAUAACGUAGGGAAACUUACGCUAAUACCGCAUACGAACUGAGGUUGAAAGCGGCGGACCGCAAGGCGUCGCGCGGAUGGAUGAGCCGAUAUCCGAUUAGCUAGUUGGCGGGGUAAAGGCCCACCAAGGCGACGAUCGGUAGCUGGUCUGAGAGGAUGAUCAGCCACACUGGAACUGAGACACGGUCCAGACUCCUACGGGAGGCAGCAGUGGGGAAUAUUGGACAAUGGGCGCAAGCCUGAUCCAGCCAUGCCGCGUGUGUGAAGAAGGCCUUCGGGUUGUAAAGCACUUUUGUUGGGAAAGAAAAGCGGUCGGUUAAUACCCGGUCGUUCUGACGGUACCCAAAGAAUAAGCACCGGCUAACUUCGUGCCAGCCGCCGCUGUAA